Molecule: long non-coding RNA, 1590 nt
Filed under: Bemisia tabaci
Lineage: Eukaryota; Metazoa; Arthropoda; Insecta; Hemiptera; Aleyrodidae
Description: lncRNA ENSSSA3NGG007177
Source: RNAcentral
GUUGCCAACAAAUUAAUUAAACUUGCAUAUCAACUAAAGAAGUCUGUCGAGGAAAGUAGAGCGCAGUGGCAGAGGGAAGUGUCCACUCUAGAAGAAGCUCUGCGAAAGAAAAGGAAAAUACUAUAUUAAACAGUCGAGUCGACACUCAGCGGUAAAAAUAAUCUCAAUUUCAAUGCUGUUAUUAAGGUCAGGUAACUGCUACCCAAAUGACAAGGAGGUAGAAUAAUGCUGUGUCCACACUACUCUCCAGGGAAAUCAAGACCAGAAAACUCCAAAAAUUUCAAUCACAGUUGAAAAUCUGAGCUAUAAUGAGUAUCAGUACCAAACUGAGGGGAGAGAAAAAUACCAAAAGCAUUAAUUAAAGCUUUAUUAGGGAGAAUCAUUCAUUAGAAAAGUUCGUAACGGUUUGUGAGAUUAAUUGCUUACUUAGAUUAAGUUAUCCUAAAUCUCUUCUUCUGAGCAAUCAUGAUUGCCGGCCACCAAGAAAUACUGAUAGAGUGUGCAGGAAAUUCAAAGAAAUGUGUUUUAAUGUAGGCAAAUUGCUUGCUAAGGAGUGGAUUUCACACUUUUUAAAUGUGCCAAUUGAGGUCUGCAAAGGGUUUUACAUGUAGACAGUCUAUUUAUGCUGCUGUGUCUCUUAUGUGCAACAAACCCAUCAUGAGUCCUGAACAUAGCAGAUCAAGGUGAUUUGAGGGCGAGAGAACCAUAAGUCAGAAUGACCUGCCAUUGCGAUUAUAUCGCAUAGAUUAGCUCCAAGGUCUCAGUCAGCUGCUGUUUUAAUUAAAUUUUGAGAUCGCAUUUCUAGUGGGACGAACAACUCAAGGUUGAGGUUAUUGGCAUUCAGAUUUUUUUUUCUUGCAGAAAGCUGAAGGUUUGGAAAUGUACAACUUAGAUAAAACCCUUUUUUCCCUCUUUUUUUCAGAGUUGUCGACGAUUCUUCAGUCCAUUUUGUAAAUUCAUUGAAUUCUGUUAGUCUCCAGCCAACUGCAGAUAACAAUGAACAGAAGAAGUGUGCCAACUGUGAUAGGGAAGCGUAUGCUGAGUGUUCCUUGUGUCGCCGAACGCCAUACUGUUCGAUAUUCUGUCAGCGGAAAGACUGGGCUGUCCACCAGGUGGAAUGUGUUCGAUCGGAUCCAAACAGUAUUAUGCUGAUCGUUGAAACUGCUGAUGGCGUUGUCAACUGAUUGUACACGGCUGAAUGAUUUAUAUAUACCAAAUUAGAAAUAUGAAGGUUCAAUUAGACGCAUGUGCUAAAACAGUCUAUUGACUUUGGAUCUCUAUAACAGACAGGUAUCUGUAACAUAGGUUUGUCCAAUUUUGCCUUCGUUUUGUAAAAAGUUUUGUUUUUGUUCCGCCAAAAUUUGUCAAUUGCGGCUUAUAAGUUAAUAAUAAAAUUAAUUAUAUUUUUCAUUAGUGAUCUUUAUUAACCUCAAUUAUAACAUUUUCUUUCCCUCCUCUUUGAUACAGACGAGUGUCUCUGUCACUAAACGAAGCAAAAAUGACUUUAGGAUGCAUCAGCUUCAAUUUUUUACAAUGGGUCAAAGUAACACUACCCUCAAUUUUUCCAUAGAAUAUUCAAGUUCAAACCUA